This 613-nucleotide ribosomal RNA is filed under the name uncultured bacterium. RNAcentral describes it as "bacterial SSU rRNA". The stretch from base 1 to 534 matches the Rfam family "Bacterial small subunit ribosomal RNA", at positions 338 to 873 of the family's 1533-position model. The record is from RNAcentral.
CCUACGGGAGGCAGCAGUAAGGAAUAUUGGACAAUGGGCGCAAGCCUGAUCCAGCCAUGCCGCGUGAAGGAUUAAGGCCCUCUGGGUUGUAAACUUCUUUUAUAGGGGACGAAAAAAGGGCUUUCUAGCUCGACUGACGGUACCCUAUGAAUAAGCACCGGCUAACUCCGUGCCAGCAGCCGCGGUAAUACGGAGGGUGCAAGCGUUAUCCGGAUUCACUGGGUUUAAAGGGUGCGUAGGCGGGCAGUUAAGUCAGUGGUGAAAUCUCUGGGCUCAACCCGGAAACUGCCAUUGAUACUAUCUGUCUUGAAUAUUGUGGAGGUGAGCGGAAUAUGUCAUGUAGCGGUGAAGUGCUUAGAUAUGACAUAGAACACCGAUUGCGUAGGCAGCUCGCUACACAUAUAUUGACGCUGAGGCACGAAAGCGUGGGGAUCAAACAGGAUUAGAUACCCUGGUAGUCCACGCCCUAAACUAUGAUUACUCGACAUUUGCGAUACACAGUAAGUGUCUGAGNGAAGANAUAAGUAAUACACCGNGGAGACGACCGACGAGUAGAACGACGAAGAGUAGUAGACGAGAGAGAGCGACGGACGGACGACGACGGAGGGAGGAG